This 253-nucleotide ribosomal RNA is filed under the name uncultured bacterium. Its description in RNAcentral is "partial 16S ribosomal RNA". It matches the Rfam family "Bacterial small subunit ribosomal RNA", at positions 524 to 776 of the family's 1533-position model. The record is from RNAcentral.
UACGUAGGGGGCAAGCGUUGUCCGGAUUUAUUGGGCGUAAAGAGCGUGUAGGCGGCCAAGCAGGUCCGCUGUGAAAACUCGAGGCUCAACCUCGAGACGUCGGUGGAAACCGUUUGGCUAGAGUCCGGAAGAGGAGAGUGGAAUUCCCGGUGUAGCGGUGAAAUGCGCAGAUAUCGGGAAGAACACCCGUGGCGAAGGCGGCUCUCUGGGACGGUACUGACGCUGAGACGCGCAAGCGUGGGGAGCGAACAGG